GAUUAUGGCUCAGGAUGAACGCUAGCGACAGGCUUAACACAUGCAAGUCGAGGGGCAGCAUAAAAGUAGCAAUACUUGGUGGCGACCGGCGCACGGGUGAGUAACGCGUAUGCAACCUACCUAUCAGAGGAGAACUAACCGGCGAAAGUCGGACUAAUACCGCAUAAAACAGGGGCACCGCAUGGUGAUAUUUGUUAAAGAAAUUCGCUGAUAGAUGGGCAUGCGUUCCAUUAGGUAGUUGGUGAGGUAACGGCUCACCAAGCCGACGAUGGAUAGGGAACUGAGAGGUUGGUCCCCCACACUGGUACUGAGACACGGACCAGACUCCUACGGGAGGCAGCAGUGAGGAAUAUUGGUCAAUGGGCGGGAGCCUGAACCAGCCAAGUCGCGUGAAGGAAGAAGGAUCUAUGGUUCGUAAACUUCUUUUGCAGGGGAAUAAAGUGCAGGACGUGUCCUGUUUUGUAUGUACCCUGAGAAUAAGGAUCGGCUAACUCCGUGCCAGCCGCAGC
This 509-nucleotide ribosomal RNA is filed under the name uncultured bacterium. Its description in RNAcentral is "bacterial SSU rRNA". It matches the Rfam family "Bacterial small subunit ribosomal RNA", at positions 15 to 518 of the family's 1533-position model. The record is from RNAcentral.